Brassica oleracea var. oleracea is the source of this 1231-nucleotide long non-coding RNA. RefSeq lists it as uncharacterized. The record is from RefSeq and is a predicted model, not a curated record. Lineage: Eukaryota; Viridiplantae; Streptophyta; Magnoliopsida; Brassicales; Brassicaceae. The transcript is spliced from 4 exons.
GUGUCGCCAGACUGUUGUUGUCACAAGGGUUUUGCGUGUUUUGGGAGGCACAUGAUGUCAAGAAGGGAGAUGAGCCGAUGGGUGUCGAUAUGGUUUUGGUCGAGGAGAAGUCUACUAUUAAUCAUACCUCUAUUAGCGUCCAUCGCCUAAAUACGCUCCUCAGAGAAGGGGCCGUUUCUGAGAAAAAAAAAAAAUCUUUGCAAAGCUUGCCUCUCGUAUGAAAGCAAGAUUCUCCCUCGAAACCUUUCUCGGGUUGAUUGCUGCUUUAUGGAGAGAUCUCUUGGACAGCUUUAUUCCGUGAGUAUUUGACAGAGAUCGAUAUGCUGUCUCAGUUUAGACACAUGCACCUGCUUCCUUUAAUCUGAAACUGCAAUGAGGAACAUCAAGAUGAUCAUGGUGGGCGAGUAUAUGGAAGAGGGAACGCUUAAGAACAUAUGUAUGACUUGGAUAACCCAAGGUGAGCUGCAGACAUAAGCUGGAGAUAUGCGUUGGUGCAGCUAGAGGGGAUCACUAUCUCCAUACAGGUUCCGCAAGAGCCAUCAUACACAGCGAUGUGAAGUAUGCUAAGUGCUAACAUUUUCUUGGAUGAGAACUUCAGGGCCAAAGUUGCAGAAUUUGGAUUGUCUGAGACUGGUCCGUAUCUUGACCAGACACAUAUGAGUACGACGGUGAAAGGAAGCUUUGCUUAUCUUGAUCCAGAGUACUUGACCAGACAACAACUGACUGGACCAGUCAUUUUUGUGAUGUGAUUCUUAAGGUACUAUGUGGGAUACCAGUCAUUGAUCCAUAUAUUUCAAGAGAGAAAGUGAAUUGAUCGAAUGUGCCACAAAGUUGGUGAAGAAAGCAAAGGUAGUAGAUCAUGGACCAAUUUUUUGAUGGCAAAGUAAAGCUUGAAAAGAUUAAGAAGCACUGUGAGUUAACAGAGAAGUGUUUGGUCCAAAACAGGAUUGAGAGGCCAAGAAUGGGAAGUUAUUUUGGAACCUAGAGUUUAUGCUUCAGGUCCAAGUGAAAGACGAUGAAACAGGAAUAUUGCAUGCUUAUCCAAAGGCUAGCAUUGUGGGAUCAAUGGUGGAUUUUAGUGUGGAUCGAAUUGGAUAUUUGGCAAGGUGUCUCAAUGAGUUAAGUUUUGUGGAAAGAAAAGACACUAGAUAAAAAAAGAUCAAAUAAGAGUAUCUAAAUUACUAUAGUGUUGUUUGUACAAGAGGGAGGAGAGACCACAUUACUUUUUUAU